AGGCUGAUGACCGAUAUUUUCUUCUUCCUCAACUCCCAUCCACAUCGGUAGAACCCAAACACGCUCCGACAAAAACAUCGAAUACGAAAUGCCGGCGUAGAAGUACUGGCGAAGCUGAUGUAAUUGUAGCCCAUACCUUACAAUCACAACAAAAUACUCAACAAGAAUAAUAUCCACAUCAAACUUCAAUCAGGUCACCAAAAUUUGUUCCAUUGAAGCUGAAUACAAGCUAAUGAGGGUGGUAAUGAAGGAAACCUUAGAGGAGUGCCCACUAGGGAAAGACCAGUGGUCAACGGCGAAAGAGAAGAACAUGUUCUUGCUGUAAAUUGAGCGAGGGUGUUGGAUGAGGUGUUUGAGAAGGCCAAUGGAGAGAAGUGAGAGAAUGAUGGGGAAAAAGAGAUAGUCAUUGCCAAAGAACUUAAGGAAUUUGAGGGUCGGGAAAGGUAAGAAAGGAAUUUGAGGACCGAGAUCUUGAGGAAUUUGGG
Molecule: long non-coding RNA, 485 nt
Filed under: Olea europaea subsp. europaea
Lineage: Eukaryota; Viridiplantae; Streptophyta; Magnoliopsida; Lamiales; Oleaceae
Source: RNAcentral